This 244-nucleotide small nucleolar RNA is filed under the name Scedosporium apiospermum. RNAcentral describes it as "Small nucleolar RNA snR191". It matches the Rfam family "Small nucleolar RNA snR191". Lineage: Eukaryota; Fungi; Ascomycota; Sordariomycetes; Microascales; Microascaceae. The record is from Rfam by way of RNAcentral.
UGCCCAGUUGUCUUGUCAGGAUACUUUCUCGCACAUUCAGUGCGCUUCAAUGAGAUUUCAUCUGUUACACACUGGGCAGAUUAAAUGUCAAUCUCGCUGCCCUUUGCCCUUGGGUUUUGGGGUCGGUGGACUCCGUUUUGGAGUUUGCCAUGAGAUACGACGUUGUUUCAAAAUGAGUUGAGGCUGCCCCUGAUUUUACAUCUUGGGCUUCGUGGCAGUCUUUUUAGUACUGAUUCAUACAUUU